RNAcentral lists this unclassified non-coding RNA (612 nucleotides) under Aciotis circaeifolia. RNAcentral's name for it is "partial may contain 26S ribosomal RNA, external transcribed spacer, 18S ribosomal RNA". The record is from RNAcentral. Lineage: Eukaryota; Viridiplantae; Streptophyta; Magnoliopsida; Myrtales; Melastomataceae.
AGGCUUGCUCGGGAGACAUUUCGAUCCUCCGUUGGCUCCUCCUUGAAGGUGUCGUCUGAGGGUCGCGUGUUUCUCGUCUUGCGUUGGGACGACGCGUGAGUGGUUUUUAGGACGUGAUCCCAGGGCAGGCUCCAUGUUUCGUGCAUCGAACUGCCCUGGUCCGUCCGUUUCAUUAGUUGGUUCGCCUCUGCCCAUUCAGGGCUGGUUGCGGCUGCACGGUGGGUUCCUGUGCUCGAUAUCGGAAUACGGUAGUUGGGUGGAUUCUUGUCCCCGUCAUGUUCUCGUCGAUCCACCUCCGUCUCUUGGGAGUUGGUGGAUAUCAUCGUGCCGGCGUCCGACGUUCUCCAUCCGGAAAGUCCACCCCCUCCCGGGGCUUCUUCUCGUGAUGGCGCGUAGGUGCUUCCUGGCAUGCUCUCGGGUACGGUGGUUAUUUCGUUGGUUUUCGCAACGGUCCUCGUCGACCGUUGUGACAUAGAUGUGUCGAAGCUUUAACGCUUCUGCUCGCGUGACUCUCGUGCUUGUCCAAUGGCUCGCGGAGCUUUACCGUUUCGUGAUCGUCUUGGGGAGGCAUGGAGGUCUACGGAGGGACGCUACCUGGUUGAUCCUGCCAGA